CCUGAUCCGCCAUGCCGCGUGGGUGAUGAAGGCCUUCGGGUUGUAAACCUCUUUUGUCCGGGACGAAAAGGUCCGGGCUUAUAACUCAGGCUCCUGACGGUUCCGUAUCAAUAAACCCCCGCUUACUUCGUGCCCUCCGCCCCGGUAAUUCCACGGGGGGUGCGUUAAUCGGAAUUACUGGGCGUAAAAGGGGUGCAAGCCGUGAUCUUAACCCGAUGUGAAAUCCCCGGGCUUAACCUGGGAACUGCCUUUGAGACUGGUGGGCUUGAGUGUGGAAAAGGGGAAUGGAAUUCCCUGUGUAGCAGUGAAAUGGGUAAAUUUUCGGAAGAACACCGAUGGCGAAGGCCAUCCCCUGGGCCUGCACUGACACUCAAGCUCAAAAACCUGGGGAGCCAACGGGAUUAAAUACCCUGGUUAUCCGUUGCCUAAACGAUGUCAACUGUGUGUUGGGUGUUCUUUAACUCUGCCGCCUGGAGACUACGUGAAGUUGAUUUCCACUGGAAGAAAUUUGGCGGGGUUGAAACUCCAGA
RNAcentral lists this ribosomal RNA (530 nucleotides) under uncultured beta proteobacterium. Its description in RNAcentral is "bacterial SSU rRNA". It matches the Rfam family "Bacterial small subunit ribosomal RNA", at positions 382 to 873 of the family's 1533-position model. The record is from RNAcentral. Lineage: Bacteria; Pseudomonadati; Pseudomonadota; Betaproteobacteria.